AUUGAACGCUGGCGGAAUGCUUUACACAUGCAAGUCGAACGGUAGAGGGGGCAACCCCUCGAGAGUGGCGAACGGGUGAGUAAUAUAUCGGAACGUGCCCAGUCGUGGGGGAUAACGUAGCGAAAGUUACGCUAAUACCGCAUACGAUCUAAGGAUGAAAGCGGGGGAUCGCAAGACCUCGCGCGAUUGGAGCGGCCGAUAUCAGAUUAGGUAGUUGGUGGGGUAAAGGCUCACCAAGCCAACGAUCUGUAGCUGGUCUGAGAGGACGACCAGCCACACGGGAACUGAGACACGGUCCAGACUCCUACGGGAGGCAGCAGUGGGGAACUUUGGACAAUGGACGCAAGUCUGAUCCAGCCAUUCCGCGUGCAGGAUGAAGGCCCUCGGGUUGUAAACUGCUUUUGUACGGAACGAAAAGGUCUCUCUUAAUACGGGGGACUCAUGACGGUACCGUAAGAAUAAGCACCGGCUAACUACGUGCCAGCAGCCGCGGUAA
RNAcentral lists this ribosomal RNA (496 nucleotides) under uncultured bacterium. RNAcentral describes it as "partial 16S ribosomal RNA". It matches the Rfam family "Bacterial small subunit ribosomal RNA", at positions 30 to 523 of the family's 1533-position model. The record is from RNAcentral.